GCGGGGGUGCCCGAGCCUGGUCAAAGGGGGCGGACUUAAGAUCCGCUGGCGAAGGCCUGCGUGGGUUCGAAUCCCACCCCCCGCACCA
Molecule: transfer RNA, 88 nt
Filed under: Vulcanisaeta distributa DSM 14429
Lineage: Archaea; Thermoproteati; Thermoproteota; Thermoprotei; Thermoproteales; Thermoproteaceae
Also listed under: 2 other names
Description: tRNA-Leu (TAA) (tRNA-Leu-TAA-1-1)
Rfam family: tRNA
About the family: Transfer RNA (tRNA) molecules are approximately 80 nucleotides in length.
Source: RNAcentral